Long non-coding RNA from Polypterus senegalus (gray bichir), 1405 nucleotides. RefSeq lists it as uncharacterized. The record is from RefSeq and is a predicted model, not a curated record. Lineage: Eukaryota; Metazoa; Chordata; Cladistia; Polypteriformes; Polypteridae. The transcript is spliced from 3 exons.
GCUGAAAGCAGGGCUUGGGAGAGGAGUUUACUGGCAGGGGGGAAAAAAAAUGAGAGGAGGGGGGGAUUUGAAAUCCGGAAGUUUGAGGUGCUUUCUUUUGAGGGAUCGGUGAGCUAUACUAUAGUGUCAAAGAUACGAUUUAGAAAAGUUGAAAGUAAGUUGACGGCUUUUGAAAGCUGUACUACUGGAGGUGAGGAAGGGCUUUAGGUGGGGCGCUUUAAGUCCGUGGAACGGGAGUCGAAAAUGGGGGGAGGCGUACGCAGUUUUGUUCGGGUUCCCUGGAAGCUUUUGAAGGGCGUUGUUCUCUCGCAAAGUGAGGAGCGUAUCGUUAUUUUGGAGGACAAAUAAGUCAAAUUAACUGCAGGUAAAAGAGAAGUCUGAGGCAAGAGGCAAAUUAAAGCCAAGCAUAGAGUGACUCAGGGAGGAGCACCCCGGGGCAGGGAGCAGCAGUCGGUUGGGACUCAAGAAAAGGGCGCCGGCUCGGGCGGAGGGAGACUCGGCAGGACUCGCUCCAGGAAAUUCAGAGUAGAAGGAAGCCUUUGAGGUUUUGCUGGCAUUUGUAAUCCUGAAAGCACAUAAAGGUAUCUCCUUGACACUUCAAUCAUUUCUUUGGCUGAUCUGCAGCAGUUCUUCACUGGCAAGCUUUAUGUCCCACUUCUUCCGCUAAAGCUGCCAGUUGAAGAACUGUUGUGGUUGGCCGUUUCCACUCUUGACUGCUGCUGCAGAGGAGAAAAACGAGCAGAAUAUCAAGAAAUGGAUGAAGCAAGUGGUGAAACAAAUGGAGAGUCUUAUCCAUCCCUUUUUUUUUUCCCUUAUUUGUUUAUCUUAAUUGUAUUUUGGUAAGAGUUCAGUUAUUGCUAUGCCUUUCUCCAGUCUCCCAAAAUAUCUCUACUUUAUCAGCUGGGAGAACCAUCCCUGUCAUCCUCUUCAUACGAGAAUUUUUUGCUAUAACAUUGCAGGUUGCUGGGACCUGUCCUGCUGGGGUUUCAGUCGAGGGCUGGAGCUCAUAAGAGAUUCAAUGGAGUUUUGAUUGAAAUUUGUUUAGUUGCUGUCCCCCUGCUGCUUCACUAGGCCAUAGAUACAUGUGUUGUGAAAUGUGAGAGUCGCAGAGUGCUAGUGCCCGUCUCUUUCACUCAGGCUGCAGGACAGAAUACAACCCUGGGCCCAGCACUCCUCCGUUACAAGGCACCUUCACACUGGGAACGAUUUUGGCAGCUCCAGUCAACCUGAUCUUCAAGAGUAUGGGAGGAAAACCCCAAGCAAAGGAAAAAUGUGCAGACUCCUCGGUCGACGCUGGACCUGUUGGCUACGGCACCACCCUGGUUCCCCUCAUCCACUAGUAUUAAGUUCAGCAAGUAAAAAGGCAACAAGUGCCCACUACUUGUUUUAAUUGAUUUAUUUUUUU